GGGGGAGUGACUUCAAAUACAUUUUGUACUCUGUGUGGUUGUGAAUGUUGAGAUAAUACAUUUUUAAAUAUAAUCAAAUCAGCAAAGUCCUUUAUAAGUGACAAUUUGUCGGUAACCACAUGAACACAUUGAUUCUUAAAUACUGAAAUUUCAUAAUAGAAAUAUAUUGUGCUUUGUAUUCAGACUAUUAAAAUAGCUUUUAUAUUUGUAAUUAGCGUUUGUGUGGCAGACAAAGUAGCAUUUGAAUACACAGUGGAAAGUGUUUAGUAGCAUUGCUCUAAAUAGAAACCAUUAUAAAUAUUUGCUUAUUAUCAAUUAACUUUAUGUGAGGCUGUGGGGGGAAGGGGGAGAGAGGUGUUGUGUGCAGAAUACUUACUGAUAAGGAUAGGCAAUGAUAAUUUGAAAAGGUUCUGUACUAUUAUUUAAUAUUGCAAAACUUCAAUCUUUUAGUUUUUGCCUGCAUAUUUUGGUGUUAUUCAUGAAUGUGAGAAUUAACAAGGGAAUUACAAUUUUGUGCUAAAAUAUUCAAAAACAAUUAUUGUAAGUAGCACUUACAACUUUAUUGAAUGCUUUGAAUAGACUUGCCAAAAACUCAGUACAGUUGCUGUACACUAGGUAUACUUCCUCCAGCAACCACACAAUUAGUAAUACGCAUGCAAUCUUUUGAUGACAGACUAUAGUUUUUGGACUUUUCUCCUUUGAUGAAGGACAGGAAACUGGUUGAAACAUUGUUACCGCUGAUGUGAAUCCACAAAUACAGAAUUAUUUAUUUGGACUAAAAGAAUUAUGGAUACUAUUUCUUAUUUGUACACACUACUUAAAAUAAUUCUGCCAUGUUAUGAUGUGUUAGUCCUUUAUAUAUGCAAAAAUGUGUGCUGUUAAAUUAAAUAUACAACUAUAACUGUAAUAUUAUGGAUGAUGCUACUAAUUCCAAUAAUUUAGGUGCAAACUAAGAUGUGUUCAAAGUUAGCAACAAUAACAGCCUUUAUCAACACAUGUUACUCAAUGGAUAACAUGGUCCAAAAUGUGUCGUUCUAUCUACUAACCAAACCGUAAAAGAACACUAUAGAGUCAGGAACACAAACAUGUAUUCGUGACCCUAUAGUGUUAAAGCCACAAUCUACUCCCCCUGGCCUCCUCUUGCCUCCCUAAAUAUAGUAACAUCUUAUUUGUAUUUAAGUCUGCAGCUGCUGCCUCUGCCCCUGACCUGCCUUCUGUCUGCUGACAUCAUCAGAAGUGGUGGUCUGAGCCAAUCCCAAUGCUUCCCCAUGGUUGGAUGAGACUGUCAAAAAGGCAGAUCAGGGGCAGAGCCAGCACAA
Molecule: non-coding RNA, 1319 nt
Organism: Pelobates cultripes (western spadefoot toad)
Lineage: Eukaryota; Metazoa; Chordata; Amphibia; Anura; Pelobatidae
Source: the annotation of a GenBank genome assembly